GAGGGCUGCGCGCUCCUCGCCGAGAAGCUGGAGGCGCACUCGGGCGGCCGCGGCGCCCGCGCUCCUCCCUCUGCUCUGCACCCGCUGUCACGCUGCCCGCGCGCGGGGGAGCAUCGCAAGCCUCCAGGUGAAUUGAAAGUCGUUUCCGGGGGAGGACGGCGAGGGUGCUGCAGUCCUGGCAUGCACUGAAACUGCAACUCGGACAGAAACGACCCAGCGGAGGAGCGCGGCGCGCUGCGCAGCAUCCUCGGGCUGCUGGAGGCGGUCGUUGCUCAGCUCACAGCCGAGCGCCGCGGCCGGACCUCGGCCCCGGGACGCCGGCCCUGGGCGCGCUCGCCCGGAGAGACCCCCAGUCCUGCGCAUUUCGCCGCUGCGCUCGAGUGGGGAAUGCGAGCGCGGUGGCUCCAGGUCGCCGCGGAGCAGCUGCCUGGCGGAGAGCGAGGAGAGGCGAGGGGGCGGCAGCCUCGGCCCGAAAACCUGGUACAAUCCUAGCACAUAGAGGGUGCUCAAAAGUAUUUGUUGGAUGAAUGAAUGGAGAGACUGAGAUCCUAAAUUCAGACUGAUUGCGCUGUGAGCUCCCUUGUCCUGGAGACAGAGCUGGAGCCCCAACCCAGAGUCCCUGGGUGUCGCCUCAAAAGACUGUGCUGCUUCUCCAUGGAGCACUCCUCUUCCUCACCUUCUUUUUAGACUCUGGCUUGAAGCCAUCAUGAUGACCAAAGAAUGAGAGAAUGCUCAAAAAACAUGAACUUUUGGCAAAUGAUAUGUGGACCUGUGUAGGUGUCUGAUGACUUUCUGUCUACGGAGUGAAUAGAGUGAAUCAAAAUUAAGAGUCCAAGUCAGGAUCCCACAAAAGUGGCAAAAUAAAUUUGGCAAUUUCGUCGAGAUCCUUUGGCUUUGCCCAGAUCAGCCUU
This 911-nucleotide long non-coding RNA is filed under the name Equus asinus (donkey). RNAcentral describes it as "lncRNA (ENSEASG00005031553.1)". Lineage: Eukaryota; Metazoa; Chordata; Mammalia; Perissodactyla; Equidae. The record is from RNAcentral.